This is a long non-coding RNA of Populus euphratica (Euphrates poplar), 793 nucleotides long. RefSeq lists it as uncharacterized. NCBI's taxonomy places the organism in Eukaryota, Viridiplantae, Streptophyta, Magnoliopsida, Malpighiales, Salicaceae. The transcript is spliced from 3 exons. The record is from RefSeq and is a predicted model, not a curated record.
ACGUGUUACCUCACUAAUUGGAUACAAAUCAGAGCAAAGCCCACGGAUCCACUGCCUAAUGUCAAGAGUGUUAGCCGGACCGCUCCUUGAAACGGAGAGAGCAGCAGUCUUGGGGGCAACGUCAUCUAAAUCCGAUCAAAGCCACUCUCUUUCUUGACGACGGCAGCAGCCUCUGAAUCUCCGACUCCGUCAAAAACUCCCAGAAAAUGUGCUAGCUUUCAGAUCCCUGUAACUUUUCUUGCAGUUCAGAUUCCAGACUCCUACAAGAUGGUUAAUGCCACUAAAGGGUUGUUCAUAUCCUGUGACAUACCUAUGGCACAAUUCAUCAUCAAUUUGAAUGCUUCGCUACCGGCAUCACAGAAGUUCAUCAUUCAUAUUUUGGACAGCACUCACAUGUUUGUCCAGCCCCAUGUGUCUGAUAUGAUACGAAGUGCAAUUUCAGACUUCAGAGAGCAGAAUUCCUACGAGAAGCCCUCUUAAUUUUCCCAUCUGCUCCCUCGUUUAUGGUAUUUUUAUUAUAAACACUCGAUUAGACCAUCAUACCCAUACUUCAGCUCAUCAAUAUUUCUGUUUGCGUUUCUGUCAUUCAAUGCAAAUCAAAGCUUUCUUGUUAAUGAAAGGAACAAUAUAACCUCGGGCAAUAUCAGAUUUAAGUUGGAGCUUACUUGGAAGGGUAUGCAGUUGAAACCUGUUUUCCUGUAUAGCUCCUGAACUAGCUGGCUGAGCUUGGAAAAUGUAGAUGGACAUGAUACUAUAUAUCUAUUUUACUGCACCGAUUAUUUCAUUUUUUGAU